Molecule: unclassified non-coding RNA, 444 nt
Filed under: Hevea brasiliensis (rubber tree)
Lineage: Eukaryota; Viridiplantae; Streptophyta; Magnoliopsida; Malpighiales; Euphorbiaceae
Source: RNAcentral
AAAUGACCUUUUUCUCUUAUUCUUUUCCUUCCUCCCCUCUUUCCUUUGAACUUUGCCUAUUAGAGAGGAGUGCAGGACAUGUCAUUGCUUCAUUCUUUUAUUAUUUAGCAUAUGCGAUGCAUGAACUGUGACAAACCUACAAAGAUGACCAUUAAGGUGAAUCUAAAUGCCUGUGGUCUGGCCAGAGGGAGGGAGGACAUUUAAGUGCUAUAUUUCACAUACCUACUGGGAAUGGAAUUUAGUAGGUCAUUGGGGCUUGUGAUUGAAUUAUGAUUUCAUCUAUUAAAUUUGUCAAAUUUAAGUUUAAGCGUUGACCUAUUGGAAAGUAUUCUCUUUAGGGAUUUGGUUAGGGGUGUGCAAUCGGUUGGUUUGGUUUCAAACUGACCUGAACUAGCUGAAAAACUGAAAUGUGAAUUAUGUACCAAAGUAUAAAGAAAAUUGAAU